GUGUCAGCAGCCGCGGUAAUACGGAGGGUGCAAGCGUUAUCCGGAUUCACUGGGUUUAAAGGGUGUGUAGGCGGGCUGUUAAGUCAGUGGUGAAAUCUCCGGGCUCAACCCGGAAACUGCCAUUGAUACUAUCAGUCUUGAAUAUCGUUGAGGCAGGCAGAAUAUGUCAUGUAGCGGUGAAAUGCAUAGAUAUGACAUAGAAUACCGAUUGCGAAGGCAGCUUGCUAAACGAUCAUUGACGCUGAGGCACGAAAGCGUGGGGAUCAAACAGGAUUAGAUACCCCCGUAGUCC
Molecule: ribosomal RNA, 292 nt
Filed under: uncultured bacterium
Lineage: Bacteria
Description: partial 16S ribosomal RNA
Rfam family: Bacterial small subunit ribosomal RNA
Source: RNAcentral